Molecule: ribosomal RNA, 497 nt
Filed under: uncultured bacterium
Lineage: Bacteria
Description: partial 16S ribosomal RNA
Rfam family: Bacterial small subunit ribosomal RNA
Source: RNAcentral
GACGAACGCUGGCGGCGUGCCUAAUACAUGCAAGUUGAGCGCUGAAGGUUGGUACUUGUACCAACUGGAUGAGCAGCGCACGGGUGAGUAACGCGUGGGGAAUCUGCCUUUGAGCGGGGGACAACAUUUGGAAACGAAUGCUAAUACCGCAUAAAAACUUUAAACACAAGUUUUAAGUUUGAAAGAUGCAAUUGCAUCACUCAAAGAUGAUCCCGCGUUGUAUUAGCUAGUUGGUGAGGUAAAGGCUCACCAAGGCGAUGAUACAUAGCCGACCUGAGAGGGUGAUCGGCCACAUUGGGACUGAGACACGGCCCAAACUCCUACGGGAGGCAGCAGUAGGGAAUCUUCGGCAAUGGACGAAAGUCUGACCGAGCGACGCCGCGUGAGUGAAGAAGGUUUUCGGAUCGUAAAACUCUGUUGGUAGAGAAGAACGUUGGUGAGAGUGGAAAGCUCAUCAAGUGACGGUAACUACCCAGAAAGGGACGGCUAACUACGUG